This is a non-coding RNA of Benincasa hispida (wax gourd), 1140 nucleotides long. The record is from RefSeq and is a predicted model, not a curated record. NCBI's taxonomy places the organism in Eukaryota, Viridiplantae, Streptophyta, Magnoliopsida, Cucurbitales, Cucurbitaceae.
CCCCCGAUCUCCUUGCCUAACUCGCCAGAAACCCUAGCUCCAACCGUCGCGAAGUUCAGCGCCUCCCGCCGCCGCAAGCUUUGACACUUCCAGCCGCUUUCGAGUCGCCAUGCAUCGGAGUCGCUAGCCAUGCCCCCAUCCUUCACGUGGACUGGUGUCGAGCUGUCCUACACCGACAACCCCUUGUCCACGCUGUUCGCAAGACUCGGCUACACGGGUCGUCAAACUCGCCGUCCGUCAAUCAGAGCCUAUGCACACCUCUCUCCUCGCCAGCAGUUCGCGUUGCUGCUCACCCUUUUGCCAGCCACCGUGCUGUCUGUCGCCACUCGAUGCCUGUCGUCGCCUGCUGUCAUGGAUUGUUGUGUUAUGCCAGGAUUUUGGAGUUAAAGGUAAGUUCUUAGUGGAUUUUGACAAUGAGUUUUAGAUAUCUUUGAUGCCCAUUAAGUUUGAUAUCAUUUGGUUGAUGUUCAAUGCAAGUGGGGUUUGGAUUGAAGAUUAGGUCAUUCCUAGUUGUCCAGUGUUACAAGGAUUGAUUUUCGGAGGAUUUGCAGAAACAAUACUGAAAUUAUGUAUGUGAUGCAUGAUCAGACUAAUAGAGCGUUUACCGUCUCGCCUUGAUGCAUGUUAUAUUUCAGAGGACCAACGAGUCUAGUUUCAUGUUUAACGGUGUGCCUUCGGACCGCUAGACAUGCAUAAAUCAACAGGUUCACGUUCAUGUUAUUUUUCCGGUGUGCCUUCGGGCCGCUAGAAAGACGUGAAUCGACAGGUUCACGUUUAUGUUAUUUUUCCAGCGGUGUGUCUUCGAACCGCUAGACAUGCAUGGAUCGAUAGGUUCACGUUCAUGUUUCUUUUUCCAUGUUUGACGAUGUGUCAUCAAGCCACUACACAUGUGAGUCAAGGUAAGGGCAAGGAUACUCGGGCGACAGUGAUAGUGCCAUAGGAACUAGAAACGCUUCCGUAUUGAACCUUUAUGUCUUCUCAUGUUUUUUUCUAUUAUUAUUUUUUAUUUAUUUCAUGUUAAGGGGUACCCCAGAUAAAAUCAUUUGAAAUCUUGAGUUAAAGUCAAAAUAGUUUCUUUAUACACUUAAGUAGUCCAAAAUCCUAUUAUUUUAUUUUAUUUUUCCCUCAAUGUGAACAUUU